Molecule: ribosomal RNA, 883 nt
Filed under: uncultured bacterium
Lineage: Bacteria
Description: partial 16S ribosomal RNA
Source: RNAcentral
GGGAGGGGGCGCCUUACCGUCCUGUUCAGCGCUCGUUCUCUUAAGACGCAUCAUGGAGGAUUGCGGAGUGGCCCCCUUGGGACGGCGAAGUGUUCGCUUGACCGUGCACUCAUCUACCGCACUAUCAAGCUUGAGGCCUUAUAUGCGUGCCUCUGCUUUGCAUGCGCAGAGUGGUAGAUGCGCACGACGAGGUAGUAGUACACCCGCUGCGGACAUCGUCUCACUAUUGACGCCACGGCAAUCAACACUCUCGGUAUAGACUUGUGGAGUAUAUAUGCGAUAUCACCAGCUCUACGGAUCAAAGCACUUUUCCUUCCAGUAAGGACUCGACCCCCCCGCCUUGAAUCUCUAACUCGUGCCGUACUCCUCUCACCAAGGCGCACGUAUCAGAAUUUUGGUCUGAGAGGAUGAUCCUCCUCCCUGGGCACUGACACGCGGGACCAAUAUCCCUUCGGGAUGUGUCAACUUCGGGGAAUCUUGGACAAAGGGCGCCAGUCUGAUCCCUCCGUGCCGUGUGGGUGCUUAACGACAUAGGCGUUGACUAGCUCUUUCCGAGCGUAAGACAAAGUCAGUACCCGCAAAACAUGUCUCCGGCUUAUCCUUCUGUCAACAGCCACGGCACCACGUAUGGCGUUAGAGUUGCUCUCCACACUCUGGACCUAAAGUGCACAUAGGUCUGAUGCUAUACCCUGUGUGAAAUCCUGGAGCUAAAUUCCCGAACUGCCCUCUGAUUGUGUACGACAUUACUCCGGCAAAAGUGACUGGAAAUGCCAAUGCACAGGUAAACAUCGUAAUUAUUUCCACGAUCACCCUUGGCUUAAGCGACUUUAUGUGCCGUCCCUGACGUUAAACUGCUAAGUCUAGCUAAGCCAUUAGUUUACAC